Molecule: ribosomal RNA, 459 nt
Filed under: uncultured bacterium
Lineage: Bacteria
Description: partial 16S ribosomal RNA
Rfam family: Bacterial small subunit ribosomal RNA
Source: RNAcentral
CCUACGGGAGGCAGCAGUGAGGAAUAUUGGUCAAUGGUCGGGAGACUGAACCAGCCAAGCCGCGUGAGGGAUGAAGGUACAGAGUAUCGUAAACCUCUUUUGUCAGGGAACAAAGGCGGGGACGCGUCCCCGGAUGAGUGUACCUGACGAAAAAGCAUCGGCUAACUCCGUGCCAGCAGCCGCGGUACUACGGUGGAUGCGAGCGUUAUCCGGAGUUAUGGGGUUUAAAGGGUGCGCAGGCGGUCUGGUAAGUCCGCGGUCAAAGCCCGGGGCUCAACCCCGGCCCGCCGUUGAAACUGGCAGUCUCGAGUUGGAGAGAGGUAUGCGGAAUGCGCGGUGUAGCGGUGAAAUGCAUAGAUAUCGCGCAGAACUCCGAUUGCGAAGGCAGCAUGCCGGCUCCACACUGACGCUGAGGCACGAAAGCGUGGGUAUCGAACAGGAUUAGAUACCCCAGUAGUC